Molecule: small nuclear RNA, 147 nt
Organism: Pseudonaja textilis
Lineage: Eukaryota; Metazoa; Chordata; Lepidosauria; Squamata; Elapidae
Source: Ensembl
AUGAAGCAUGAAAAAAAGAGAAGCUCAGAACUCCCCUUGAUAAGAAUGGAAAAGGUCCCUGCAGUCAGCACAAUGACACCUAUGGCUAGGGCACCAAAGGAGGAAAAUCUAACAUUCCCCCCCUUUAAUAUCUUGGUAAAAUUCUGU